AGUGAACGCUGGCGGUAGGCCUAACACAUGCAAGUCGAACGGCAGCACAGUAAGAGCUUGCUCUUACGGGUGGCGAGUGGCGGACGGGUGAGGAAUACAUCGGAAUCUACUUUUUCGUGGGGGAUAACGUAGGGAAACUUACGCUAAUACCGCAUACGACCUACGGGUGAAAGCAGGGGAUCUUCGGACUUUGCGCGAUUGAAUUAGCCGAUGUCGGAUUAGCUAGUUGGCGGGGUAAAGGCCCACCAAGGCGACGAUCCGUAGCUGGUCUGAGAGGAUGAUCAGCCACACUGGAACUGAGACACGGUCCAGACUCCUACGGGAGGCAGCAGUGGGGAAUAUUGGACAAUGGGCGCAAGCCUGAUCCAGCCAUACCGCGUGGGUGAAGAAGGCCUUCGGGUUGUAAAGCCCUUUUGUUGGGAAAGAAAAGCAGCAGGUUAAUACCCCGCUGUUCUGACGGUACCCAAAGAAUAAGCACCGGCUAACUUCGUG
RNAcentral lists this ribosomal RNA (492 nucleotides) under uncultured bacterium. RNAcentral's name for it is "partial 16S ribosomal RNA". It matches the Rfam family "Bacterial small subunit ribosomal RNA", at positions 29 to 507 of the family's 1533-position model. The record is from RNAcentral.